Molecule: unclassified non-coding RNA, 211 nt
Filed under: fungal sp.
Lineage: Eukaryota; Fungi
Also listed under: 1 other name
Description: partial internal transcribed spacer region
Rfam family: Eukaryotic small subunit ribosomal RNA (bases 1-46)
Source: RNAcentral
AAGUCGUAACAAGGUUUCCGUAGGUGAACCUGCGGAAGGAUCAUUAAUGAAAUUGAUACUCAUCUUUUUCUGUGAACUUGGCUUCGGCCAUUAUCUGCUUCGGCGGCGUAUGUUUAUUGCAUUGCCGCCGGUGUUAAACUCUUUUAACCUUUAGUCUAAACCUUUGAUAUUUUAAUAAUCAAAACUUUCAACAACGGAUCUCUAGGUUCUC